This 253-nucleotide ribosomal RNA is filed under the name uncultured bacterium. Its description in RNAcentral is "partial 16S ribosomal RNA". It matches the Rfam family "Bacterial small subunit ribosomal RNA", at positions 524 to 776 of the family's 1533-position model. The record is from RNAcentral.
CACGUAGGGCGCAAGCGUUGUCCGGAAUUAUUGGGCGUAAAGAGCUCGUAGGCGGUCUGUUACGUCUGCUGUGAAAACCCGGGGCUUAACCCUGGGCUUGCAGUGGAUACGGGCAGACUAGAGGCAGGUAGGGGAGAAUGGAAUUCCCGGUGUAGCGGUGAAAUGCGCAGAUAUCGGGAGGAACACCGGUGGCGAAGGCGGUUCUCUGGGACGGUACUGACGCUGAGACGCGAAAGCGUGGGGAGCAAACAGG